UUGACCUGGAUCAGUAGAAUACC
RNAcentral lists this ribosomal RNA (23 nucleotides) under Muscodor albus. RNAcentral describes it as "Induratia alba partial 28S ribosomal RNA". Lineage: Eukaryota; Fungi; Ascomycota; Sordariomycetes; Xylariales. The record is from RNAcentral.